This 378-nucleotide ribosomal RNA is filed under the name uncultured bacterium. RNAcentral's name for it is "bacterial SSU rRNA". It matches the Rfam family "Bacterial small subunit ribosomal RNA", at positions 30 to 416 of the family's 1533-position model. The record is from RNAcentral.
AUUGAACGCUGGCGGCAGGCUUAACACAUGCAAGUCGAGCGGUAACAGGCCUUCGGGUGCUGACGAGCGGCGGACGGGUGAGUAACGCGUAGAAAACUGCCCGGUAGUGGGGGAUAGCCCAGAGAAAUUUGGAAUAAUACCGCAUACGCUCUACGGAGGAAAGCGGGCUUCGGCUCGCGCUAUCGGAUGUGUCUGCGUGAGAUUAGCUAGUUGGUGAGGUAAUGGCUCACCAAGGCGACGAUCUCUAGCUGGUCUGAGAGGAUGAUCAGCCACACUGGGACUGAGACACGGCCCAGACUCCUACGGGAGGCAGCAGUGGGGAAUAUUGCACAAUGGGGGAAACCCUGAUGCAGCCAUGCCGCGUGUGUGAAGAAGGCC